GACGAACGCUGGCGGCGUGCUUAACACAUGCAAGUCGAACGGAAAGGCCCUGCUUUUGUGGGGUGCUCGAGUGGCGAACGGGUGAGUAACACGUGAGUAACCUGCCCUUGACUUUGGGAUAACUUCAGGAAACUGGGGCUAAUACCGGAUAGGAGCUCCUGCUGCAUGGUGGGGGUUGGUAAGUUUCGGCGGUUGGGGAUGGACUCGCGGCUUAUCAGCUUGUUGGUGGGGUAGUGGCUUACCAAGGCUUUGACGGGUAGCCGGCCUGAGAGGAUGACCGGCCACAUUGGGACUGAGAUACGGCCCAGACUCCUACGGGAGGCAGCAGUGGGGAAUAUUGCACAAUGGGCGGAAGCCUGAUGCAGCAAUGCCGCGUGCGGGAUGACGGCCUUCGGGUUGUAAACCGCUUUCGCCUGAGACGAGGCGUGAGUGACGGUAAUGGGUAAAGAAGCACCGGCUAACUACGUG
Molecule: ribosomal RNA, 468 nt
Filed under: uncultured bacterium
Lineage: Bacteria
Description: partial 16S ribosomal RNA
Rfam family: Bacterial small subunit ribosomal RNA
Source: RNAcentral